AACGAACGCUGGCGGCAUGCCUAACACAUGCAAGUCGAACGAGACCUUCGGGUCUAGUGGCGCACGGGUGCGUAACGCGUGGGAACCUGCCCUUAGGUUCGGAAUCACUCCCCGAAAGGGGUGCUAAUACCGGAUACUGUCUUCGGACCAAAGAUUUAUCGCCUUUGGAUGGGCCCGCGUUGGAUUAGCUAGUUGGUAGGGUAAAAGCCUACCAAGGCGACGAUCCAUAGCUGGUCUGAGAGGAUGAUCAGCCACACUGGGACUGAGACACGGCCCAGACUCCGACGGGAGGCAGCAGUGGGGAAUAUUGGACAAUGGGCGAAAGCCUGAUCCAGCAAUGCCGCGUGAGUGAUGAAGGCCUUAGGGUUGUAAAGCUCUUUUACCCGGGAUGAUAAUGACAGUACCGGGAGAAUAAGCUCCGGCUAACUCCGUG
This 433-nucleotide ribosomal RNA is filed under the name uncultured bacterium. Its description in RNAcentral is "partial 16S ribosomal RNA". It matches the Rfam family "Bacterial small subunit ribosomal RNA", at positions 29 to 507 of the family's 1533-position model. The record is from RNAcentral.